AUGGUGGAGCUUGACCUUAAUCAGCCGCCCAGAUGGGACGAGUUUGGCGAUUACACGGGCCCUAUCAUUGACCUAAACAAUGAUCUGCAGUGGGCUCACACCUACGAAGUGCAAGAUGUGGAGGUAGGAGAAGGUUCUGGCGAGGGAGGAGGAUCUGACGAUGCUCACAGCAUCCGCCCUGAAGAACACGCUACUGGAGAUGCGCACGUUCGAGGAGAUGGAAUCACGGCAAGCAUGCAUGGCCGAAUCGGCGGCUUCGGUCGCACACUUGGCCUUGCCGGUUGGGGGCAUCUUGGCGUGCAUGCUCACCGUGGCCUCGCCGGAAGUGGUGUGGCCGGACGUGUUGUCCCCGGACAUGUUGUUCCUGCACAUGGUCACCGGAGGCUUGGGCUGACUGGGCGUGGCAUAGGCUCAGUGCUAAAUGUGCAUCAGUUUCAGCCUGGACAGAACAACUCCGAGCAGCACGACGUGAACCAUGCUCACACUGACGACCAGAGCGACGCCGCCGACGAGCAUGGCAACGCCGAUCAGGGGAACAACGAGCAUUCCUAUGAAGGAUACGACGAAGGUGCCGGCGGUACUGGCAACGUCGAGCAGGGCGGCGGAGAACAUGGCAAUUGCUUAGGAGGUGGCGCAGGUCCAAGGGCUUCAGGGCCCUUUUGUGCUAGCCUCCCUUUGUCAGUGACGUUCAUCUUCGUGCCAGCCUCGAGCCCGAUAGUACUCGGCAUCGUGCCAAUACAGUUUGUUUACAGUGCACAUCAGAGGAAACGCAAAUGGUGCACAGACAAUGAAAGGAGGACUAUAUACAGCAUGCUUUUGGAUAGGAGUACUCAUGGCAUAUUGAAGCGCGGUGUUUCACUACAAGUGGCAGCAGCGAUGGGUGUUUCUGAGAGAUGUGUGCAGCGUUAUUGGGAAAAAGGCCAGAUAGGUGGAGGGGUGAAUGUUGUUGUCAGCAAGAGGGCAAAGCACUGUGGCCGCAUGAGAGUUGAAAUCAACCCAGGUGAUAUUUCUGCAAUUCCAUUGAUGAAAAGGACCACCAUGCAUGACCUAGCCAAGGAGCUAAAUGUUGCAAAGAGCCCCUUACACAGGAGGUUUAAGGAAGGCAAAUUCAAGCGCCACACUAAUGAUAUCAAGCCUACAUUGACUGAUGAAAACAUGAGAGGGCGUGUUCGGUACUGUCUCUCCAUGAUACAUCCACCUAGCCUACCUCACCAGCCCACCUUCAAGGAUAUGUACAAUAUGGUGCACAUUGACGAAAAGUGGUUCUACAUGAUUAGAAGAUGUCAGAAAUAUUACUUGGCCCUUGAUGAGGACAAGCCUCAAAGGGGCAUAAGGAACAAAGGAUUUAUUCCAAAGGUGAUGUUCCUUGUAGCAAUUGCGAGGCCUAGGUUCGAUGCACUUGGGACAUGCACAUUUGACGGGAAGAUUGGAAUAUUUCCAUUUGUGACUAGAGAGCCUGCCAAGAGGUCAAGUAAGUACAGAGGUGCUGGCACCAUGAUCACAAAGGCAAUGACAUCUGUUACAAAGAACGAUAGCCGCGAGUUUCUUGUUAACAAGGUCUUGCCUGCCAUAAAACAGAAAUGGCCGGUUGAGGAAUUUGGGGAGCCUAUUUUCAUCCAGCAAGACAAUGCCAAAACCCAUAUUGAUGUCAACGAUCCUGUGUUUAAAGAAGUGGCAACUGCAGAUGGGUUUGACGACAUAAGACUGAUGUGCCAGCCACCCAAUUUUCCUGAUCUAAAUGCUUUGGAUCUUGGUCUUUUUUCAGGUAUUAAAUCCAUGUUCUACAAUUCAACUACGAAAACCAAACACAAACUUAUUGCCGAAGAUAUUAUCCGCAUGUUCGACGUCCACAGCAUGUUGUUUGCUCAACUCAUUUUCUGCUUCAACCUGCACAUCUUCAAGGGAAUCCGGUACCUGAGUAGCAUAUGUGUCAGGCACGUACAUCCAUACCUUCAUGCCCUCGGAUUCGGGGAUGCUGUACACAUAGCUCAUAUGCACUUCUUCAUCUUCGGUGAUUAUAUCAUUGGUUCCUUCAAUGGUGAUGUCCUGCUCAUCGACACAUUGGUCGUUGUUGUCGUCCUCCCAGAUCAUGGCGUCCUCGGCCAGCUUGUUCCAGCGCAAACCAUGCACUUCGGAGAUGUCAUCGUUGGAGACCGUGCGGCCAUCACCCAGUCCGUCUACGUACCUGCCGCCAAGACCAUCCUCCUGUCCUUUAUGUUUUCUUCCUUCAUCACCAUGGCCGCUGCGGACACCGUCAUCUGGCCGUGGUCGUCGCAGCUUGGAGCUGGCCGCGUCCUGGUUGCCGGUUCCCAUCGUACUGGGAUGACACCGCACGGGACUGGCCUUGCCGGCGGCAAUGACAUCGUCGGUGGCAAGAUGGGCAGCCACUACGUCAUCGUUGGGACCCUCGUCGCCAACACCUACGCCAUGCAGGGGGCUGGCCAUGGAUUGAUUUCUGUACGAGCUGGGAAAGAUGGGAAGGGAAAAUGGUGUGCUGGCCCUUCUUCACAAAGGAGAAAAUUGCGCGGGAGAGAAAGGGAGGUGGCCGCCGCACAUCGAGCAAGCCGCACCGGGCAGAUCGGAUCUGUCCGGAGGGCAAACCACACAUGGCGCCGACCCAACCACCAGGCCCUCCAUACCGCCACCGCCGAUCCGAGGACAGAUGGUCCGCCGCUGCAGAUCCGGCCACCACCGCCGAACGCAGCCAAGGCCGCUGCCCGACGCAGGGCCGACCGCCGCAACCGCCACCACCACCGCCCUAGGACGAGGCCGCCGCCGCGCUGCCGCCGGUCAAGGCAGGCCCGCCACGCCACGGAGGCCAGAUCGGCCGUGCCACCUCACGCCGCGGAGCUCCGCACCGUCCCCAUGGCGCGGGAGAGAGGAAAGGCCCCCGCCACCACCGUCAGCCCCCGGGCAAAAGGCCGGCGGCGUCCUUCGGCGGCGGCGGAGGGAGGGAUGGAAGGAGGGGGAGCCCCGGCGGCUAGGCCGAGAUCUCCACCCCCAGAUGUGUGUCUGGACGAGGUGGGACAAAACGGCAGCGCAUCUAUUGCUUCCCUCCGGCAAACAGUGCGCAAAAUAGAUGAGGCGGUGAAGUUGGAUAACCAUGUUGCUAGUCAGGCAACAACAUUCGAUCUUGGUUUCGACAUCCUUUUGACCAAGUUUAGCUCGUUAUGCCAGGGCAUCACUUUGAGCUUGGUUUUGAAGAUUUUGAUUAUUGCGAUGAUGCACUGGUUUGUGAACUACUUCUUCUCCCAAGGAAACAACUUUAUGGGUAUCGAUCGUAAUAGGCAGAGGGUGCGGUAUAUAGGAAAGGAGUGGAUCCAGAGUAUGCAGAUUCUCCAUUUAUACAUGGCACGUGCUCAAGGAUUUGAUAUAUUCUCCAAGCUCAGUAUCAACUCUUGGGGUGGAGAGCUAUUGACUUACCAUACCUUGUGCCACUUAUACUUGAUAGGUGGGAGCUUCGAAACAACAGAAAUACAUGACGUGUUUGAUAGGCUGCAUCCAGCCCAACCAGACCCUGGUAAUGCAAAUUUGGCAUGUUUGAUUGUCUCGGCUGCAUUGGGUUUAUGA
RNAcentral lists this ribosomal RNA (3570 nucleotides) under Triticum aestivum (bread wheat). RNAcentral describes it as "partial small subunit ribosomal RNA". Lineage: Eukaryota; Viridiplantae; Streptophyta; Magnoliopsida; Poales; Poaceae. The record is from RNAcentral.